GAUGAACGCUGGCGGCGUGCCUAAUACAUGCAAGUCGAGCGAACGGACAAGAAGCUUGCUUUUCUGAUGUUAGCGGCGGACGGGUGAGUAACACGUGGAUAACCUACCUAUAAGACUGGGAUAACUUCGGGAAACCGGAGCUAAUACCGGAUAAUAUUUUGAACCGCAUGGUUCAAAAGUGAAAGACGGUCUUGCUGUCACUUCUAGAUGGAUCCGCGCUGCAUUAGCUAGUUGGUAAGGUAACGGCUUACCAAGGCAAGGAUGCAUAGCCGACCUGAGAGGGUGAUCGGCCACACGGGAAGUGAGACACGCUCCAGACGCCUACGGGAGGCAGCAGUAGGGAAUCUUCCGCAAUGGGCGAAAGCCUGACGGAGCAACGCCGCGUGAGUGAUGAAGGUCUUCGGAUCGUAAAACUCUGUUAUUAGGGAAGAACAUAUGUGUAAGUAACUGUGCACAUCUUGACGGUACCUGAUCAGAAAGCCACGGCUAACUACGUG
RNAcentral lists this ribosomal RNA (497 nucleotides) under uncultured bacterium. RNAcentral's name for it is "partial 16S ribosomal RNA". It matches the Rfam family "Bacterial small subunit ribosomal RNA", at positions 28 to 507 of the family's 1533-position model. The record is from RNAcentral.